This is a long non-coding RNA of Brienomyrus brachyistius, 1284 nucleotides long. RefSeq lists it as uncharacterized. Lineage: Eukaryota; Metazoa; Chordata; Actinopteri; Osteoglossiformes; Mormyridae. The record is from RefSeq and is a predicted model, not a curated record. The transcript has 3 exons.
AAUGUAAGAGGGGUCACGUGACCAAAAAGCAGGCCAUACUAAUGUAUGACAGGUCCUAUGACUGCUUGGCAGGCUGUGCUAAUAUAAGAUGGGUCAUGUGACCGCUAGGCAGGUCGUAUCAAUGUAAGAUGGGUCACGUGACCAACAAGCAGGCCAUACUAAUGUAUGACAGGUCCUAUGACUGCUUGGCAGGCUGUGCUAAUAUAAGAUGGGUCAUGUGAGCGCUAGGCAGGUCGUAUCAAUGUAAGAUGGGUCACGUGACCAACAAGCAGGCCAUACUAAUGUAUGACAGGUCAUAUGACUGCCGGGCAGGCUGUGCUAAUAUAAGAUGGGUCAUGUGAGCGCUAGGCAGGUCGUAUCAAUGUAAGAUGGGUCACGUGACCAACAAGCAGGCUAUACUAAUGUAUGACAGGUCCUAUGACUGCUUGGCAGGCUGUGCUAAUAUAAGAUGGGUCAUGUGAGCGCUAGGCAGGUCGUAUCAAUGUAAGAUGGGUCACGUGACCAACAAGCAGGCCAUACUAAUGUAUGACAGGUCCUAUGACUGCCGGGCAGGCUGUGCUAAUAUAAGAUGGGUCAUGUGACCGCUAGGCAGGUCGUAUCAAUGUAAGAUGGGUCACGUGACCAACAAGCAGGCCAUACUAAUGUAUGACAGGUCCUAUGACUGCUUGGCAGGCUGUGCUAUAGAAGUCCUUGUACAACACUCCAGUCCACCCACCAAUUUAGGCACCGUGAGUGUGACUUGCGUGUAAAUGUGAUGGAGAUAAGCCUGCAUUCUCAGCACUGAGCCAUGCAGGACACUCCAGCCAUAGAACAGCUGUGCCACUCUUACUCAGAAGGUUCAGCUUCUGCUGGCACGCUGCCCCAUGCAGAUCCCUGGCCUGCUAUACCUCUCUUAUGCUUCUGUCCCCUGUGUACAUGGUUUGCCAUGAAGACGUGGCUCCCAUAAUGCCUGGAGACAGAUGGCCCAGCGCUUCAGGCAGCCGCUUUUUCACUGUCGCCACAGCUCUCUGCUAUGACAGAGCAGUUUUUCGCCUUUGCUUAUCUCACUUCCACUAUCUCACCCCCCCCCCCCAAAUUAACAAAAAGUUCUACAGAUCCAUUUCUAAAGACCGACCAGUCCUGUUUAAACCUUCCUGUCCAGGCUAAAGUUUCCAGCCCAGCUGUUGUUUUUAGUAGAUUAGCUAAGAUGGUGAUUAUCAGCGGCACGAUGAACAGGCCCAUGCUCAUGUAUUUCUACCCAAACUCCAGUGGAGCCUCUGACCCCCCCACUCCUUUAUGAGUGCC